GACGAACGCUGGCGGCGUGCUUAACACAUGCAAGUCGAACGGAAAGGCCCUGCUUUUGUGGGGUGCUCGAGUGGCGAACGGGUGAGUAACACGUGAGUAACCUGCCCUUGACUUUGGGAUAACUUCAGGAAACUGGGGCUAAUACCGGAUAGGAGCUCCUGCUGCAUGGUGGGGGUUGGAAAGUUUCGGCGGUUGGGGAUGGACUCGCGGCUUAUCAGCUUGUUGGUGGGGUAGUGGCUUACCAAGGCUUUGACGGGUAGCCGGCCUGAGAGGGUGACCGGCCACAUUGGGACUGAGAUACGGCCCAGACUCCUACGGGAGGCAGCAGUGGGGAAUAUUGCACAAUGGGCGGAAGCCUGAUGCAACAACGCCGCGUGCGGGAUGACGGCCUUCGGGUUGUAAACCGCUUUCGCCUGUGACGAAGCGUGAGUGACGGUAAUGGGUAAAGAAGCACCGGCUAACUACGUG
This 468-nucleotide ribosomal RNA is filed under the name uncultured bacterium. Its description in RNAcentral is "partial 16S ribosomal RNA". It matches the Rfam family "Bacterial small subunit ribosomal RNA", at positions 28 to 507 of the family's 1533-position model. The record is from RNAcentral.